GGAGCUUUUGACUAUCUUCAGCAGUUUUGUAUUAUACUAAAUGGGAUGUGAUGUUUUCCUUAAGAACCUCCAUGAAAUGGGGAAAAUGUAUUGAACUCCUUUCUUACCCAGGCUGAAAGAUUCCUUUGAAAUUAAGAGUGUUUCAUUUCACUGUGAUGCAAAGUGUAGAGCCACGGUUGGGCUUUGAUUCUCCAGUCCAUCUCAGCAGCAUGAGCUGCUGCCCUUCUUCUGGCUCUAGUGAAGUGGUUAUGCAGCACGGUGCACCUGAGAAACAGCUGAUGACAUUGUUUAAACCUGAAUGCUUUGGCUUCUACCCUAAAGAUUCAAGAGGUCCAGAGUGAAAAUAAGAAUCUGCAUUUUCCACAAAUAUCCCAUGUAACAGGGAAAUUUGAAUUUAUCUCUCUUUGAUCCUCCCAACUGCUGAUGUUACCAAUAAGAGGACAGGGACUUUUUGCAACUGAAUGCAAUGGAUUCAUAUUGUGGUGAGUAAAAGCCAAUAAACACAACCAGGAUAUAAAAGGGUGGAGAAAUAUUUAUUACUUGCAGCAAGUAAGGAGAACACCAGAGAUGAUUUUCAAAGCAGUAGUCUCUCUUUGAACAAAGAAAGCAAGGACUUUUGCCGGGGAAACUUACGUUUAUUCAAGUAGGGAAAACUCAUCAACACACAUUAAAAAAUAGGAUGAUGAAUGCCUUUCUGAGCGUGCUUAGCUCAGAGGUCAUAAUCACAUAUUCAAAAGAAAAGAUGGGCAGAGAAUCCAGUAUUAUAAAG
This 769-nucleotide long non-coding RNA is filed under the name Heterocephalus glaber (naked mole-rat). RNAcentral describes it as "lncRNA (ENSHGLG00000045876.1)". The record is from RNAcentral. Lineage: Eukaryota; Metazoa; Chordata; Mammalia; Rodentia; Bathyergidae.